RNAcentral lists this ribosomal RNA (914 nucleotides) under uncultured archaeon. RNAcentral describes it as "bacterial SSU rRNA". It matches the Rfam family "Archaeal small subunit ribosomal RNA", at positions 1 to 922 of the family's 1478-position model. The record is from RNAcentral.
UUCCCGGUUGAUCCUGCCCGGACCUGACUGCUAUCGGAUUGAUACUAAGCCAUGCGAGUCAUUGUAGUAAUACAAGGCAGACGGCUCAGUAACGCGUAGUCAACCUAACCUAUGGACGGGAAUAACCUCGGGAAACUGAGUAUAAUGCCCGAUAGAACAUUAUGCCUGGAAUGGUUUAUGUUCCAAAUGAUUUAUCGCCGUAGGAUGGGACUGCGGCCUAUCAGUUUGUUGGUGAGGUAAUGGCCCACCAAGACUAUUACAGGUACGGGCUCUGAGAGGAGUGGCCCGGAGAUGGGUACUGAGACACGGACCCAGGCCCUAUGGGGCGCAGCAGGCGAGAAAACUUUGCAAUGUGCGAAAGCACGACAAGGUUAAUCCGAGUGGUUUCUGCUAAAGGAACCUUUUGUCGGUCCUAGAAACACCGAUGAAUAAGGGGUGGGCAAGUUCUGGUGUCAGCCGCCGCGGUAAAACCAGCACCUCAAGUGGUCAGGAUGAUUAUUGGGCCUAAAGCAUCCGUAGCCGGCUUUGUUAGUUUUCGGUUAAAUCUGUACGCUUAACGUACAGGCUGCCGGGAAUACUGCAGAGCUAGGGAGUGGGAGAGGUAGACGGUACUCGGUAGGAAGGGGUAAAAUCCUUUGACCUAUUGAUGACCACCUGUGGCGAAGGCGGUCUACCAGAACACGUCCGACGGUGAGGGAUGAAAGCUGGGGGAGCAAACCGGAUUAGAUACCCGGGUAGUCCCAGCUGUAAACUAUGCAAACUCAGUGAUGCAUUGGCUUGUGGCCAAUGCAGUGCUGCAGGGAAGCCGUUAAGUUUGCCGCCUGGGAAGUACGUACGCAAGUAUGAAACUUAAAGGAAUUGGCGGGGGAGCACCACAAGGGGUGAAGCCUGCGGUUCUGUUCAUCAACGCCGGA